Molecule: long non-coding RNA, 4463 nt
Organism: Alligator sinensis (Chinese alligator)
Lineage: Eukaryota; Metazoa; Chordata; Crocodylia; Alligatoridae
Exons: 3
Source: RefSeq, a predicted model, not a curated record
GCUGGACUCAAUGAUCUCCCAAGGUCCUUUCCAGCCCUAAUGUCUAUGAAAUCUAUAAAAAGGUCAAGAAUAGAACCUAAAAGAAAUCUAUAUAGUAAUGGAAGGAAAAAAGAGAGAGAUUUUUCCCCUGCCCCUCAGUUUCACCCCACCCCAGAGUAUGCUCCAUUUACUGCUCGAGUCUGCUCUACUUACAUCUUUUUGCUCACAGCUUUUCCAUGUGACCCCAUCAGAUAUUCGGCAUGUGGAUGAACAGCACCUGCCAUGUCUAUCAGAACUAAGAAUAUGACCAGCUUUGUGUAGAGAUGAGGUCAAAUGCUUGUGCUGUCCAUGGGCUCUCCACAAUUCACUUCUAACUACAGCAUUAAUCACAUAUUGAAGAGAGACUUCCCAUGUGCCUAUACACCGGCUCUAACUUGCAGAGAUCAUGCUAUGGUUUCUGCUGCUUUAAGACUCCUCUGCAGCUUCCUAAACCUUUAGCUGAUGAAGAAGAAAUUGCAUCUUUUCAGAAGAUACUUAAUUCUCAGAAUACUCCUUGAAAAUACAUCUGGGCUAAUCUCAUCACCCAGCUGCUGGAAGUUUGCUGCCAACAUUUCUUCUUGUUCUCUGUUCAAGUCUUGAGACUUAGCUGUGUCAGAAGGAAUAACAAAUGUGUCAUGGCAUGAUUUAUGUACCAAGUAUCUGUUGUAAUACAGCCUUCUUUUGUGAAUGGGAAGCAGUCCCUUACUAUACACAGCUUCACUAACGGGUCUAACAAAAUCAGCAAUAUGGACUUAAUGCUGUUUUUUUCAUUAUGCCUCUGUGGAUGAUAAUUAGUAUCAAUGGAGUAUAUUUUCUGAUGUGUGCACAUUGCAUAGACCAUAAAAACUUGAAAAAUAGAAAGCUGGCAUAGCUAGAUGACUUCGACCUUGUAAAAAAUACUUUGGUGCUUGUGAUAGUUGGGAGAGUGAUGGCACCACAACAGUAAUAAUUCUCUUGUCCUCAGGAUCAGUUUAAAGUGGGCAGUGGUGAUACUAGCUUAUUCUUGGCAGCUCCUGGGAUUCUUCCUCAACGCUGAUCUAGAGCAGCCUUCUGUCAGGUUAAGAGGCUGGUGCAGUUCCUGUGUCCUUUUUCCCAUUCCCAGCCUUCAUUUUCAUCUGCUUUACUGUCAAGAAGCACACUGCUUACAGCGUGGUGUACACAUCUGCUGACUUCCUACGGACUUUUGAGUAGUCUUCACACACGCACAGUUCUUAGUUACUACUCAAUUUAUCAGGCUUUAUACAGUAAGAGGACAAAUCUUGUGUAUCCCAUGAUCUGCCUCCUAAAUCAGUCAGGUCUUACAGUCAUCUUUGAUUUGCAUAAACUGGUAGAGUUUCUUUCUUCUGGAGGCUGCAGGGUCCCCUUCAGAAGGGAAAACAUAACCUGUGGGAGAGAGAGAAGCAUGUCUGUGACAGUAGAACCAAGUGCUUCCUUUAUGUUGGGGUUGUACAUGCACAUCUUGCUAAUUUUUACUCUAGUUACUGAGACUUUUAGGAGAGACUGCAGUGUAGCGUUAUAAUCUGACAUAGUUUAUUGGCUUUGGGUUCAAGGUGAGGAGUGGGUUUUAAGGAGGAGCCGAUUUCUUCAACCCUCCUUUUAAAGCUAUAGGGGACUGCCUGGAAGAACACCCACAUGCAGGUUAAGAUUGGCAGGAGCAAUUAAGGGAGCCAUUAAGCCUCUGUCUUGAAACACGUGAAAAGGUAAAGCAAGGGUUCCUGUAUACUUUGCAGGCAAGCUGUUCUAGAGCCCUUCCUUGGUCAGAGUGGGAUAGGAAGUAGUGAGAACUGGAAUUUUAUUAAUAUAGUUGGUUUAGCUUAGUUUUGGCCUAACACAAUAUUAUUGCUGUGUGAAUGAAGUUUUCAUCUCAUUUGGUAUGUUAUCUGUGUUACAUAGGCAGCAAAAGUUCACUUCUGCAUGAGCUCAUUGGCAGAUCUUUGAAUCUUAAUAAGAAUAUUAGUACAAUUCUGCCUCUCUGGAGUGCUGAGUUCCUUUGUUCUUUUGAGAGAUAUUUGUGCUUUGAUAGAAGAUCACGGAGCAGUUAUAGGAGUAACAGGCAAGAAUUUGUAAUGCUUCUGUAGCAUACGGUUGUCAGCUUUGGUCUCCGAGAAGUCAGUAUUUGAUGUUCAUUUUGAAAAUGAGCAUCUGCCUUAAAAUACUAAGCUUAGAAUGACUUUGUAUGUUUGUUGUCCCUACAGUUUACAAGUAAGAAAGGAUGAAUAUUGAAUGAUCUUUCAUCUGAUCAUUUUUGUGAUCAGAGCUUUAUCAUUUGAUUAAAUUAGUUCAUUUGAAUCAUUUUAACUCUUUACAAGAUUAUUUAGCAAGCUGUUUUGAAUGGUAAAAAUGAUUUGUUUUGGCAAGAGAGCUUUACAAGGCAUAGUCAAUAUCUGAUUUACAUUCUGGAUGACAGCAAAAAUGAAUAUUUUUCCUUAACCAUAGAAAAUAUUAUGACUUCAACUUAAAAAUGAAUUCGCUUGCUUUGCAUGUGUAUUUUUCCUACGAAAUUGGCUGUAAUAGUUUAGGUGAGGUAAUGUAAUGGUUGAUGCAUCAUUGAUUCAUUCACAGACUAAUGUGGCAAAGUGGCAGUGUACUUUGGCCACUUUCCACCCAGAUCAAAGGUUAGAUGAGGCUGGCAAUAUAUUAAUGACUUUACCAAAGUGUGCAGUGUCAUUUAUUGAGAAAACAUUCUUAUGCACACUUUGGAGUGUGUGUGCUUAUUGAAGACCAUUUAGAUUUACAAAGACUGGAAUGAUCCUUUUCCCCCUGAAACCACUCUUGGCAAAACCACUCUAGUUAUUACAUUUGCCUUAGUUUACUUUCUGUUUCUGCAACAAAGCCUUUCAUUAAAGAAAGUGCUAACCACAUGGAAAGCUAAAAGUUUUGAUAAAUGACUGUUGUACAUAUGUAUUCAUGUUACGUUAAGCGUUCUGUAUUAUGGAUAAGUUGGCAACUCUUCAUAAUCGUUGGGUAAGUAAACAUUUCAUGUACUUCAUAGAGGUAGCUAAAAUGAAUUGAGACAGUUGGAUUGUGCAAAGUCUUUGAGUUGCUUCUAGCAAAAAGUGUCUUUUUAAUAUGUUUGCUUGUAGUUUGGAAACUGCUGUUUUUUACUGAAAUUACUGAAAGCUAAGUAACCCAGUACUACUUAAAAAUAGAGUACUUUACAUUCAGUGUAGAAAAUAGAAUACACGAUUUUAAUAUGUUGCUGAAAUGACUAACAGUUUUUCUAAAUCAGGCUCUCUUGGUUCAUUUUGUUAGGGUAAAGCCUACUUUAAAACUUAAUUUUGGCACCAAGAUAUUUUGCAGUCUAGUGUCUUAAAAAUAAAACACUAAUGUUUCCUUCAGACUUCCACUUAAAGAGAAGCAAACAGCAGCAGAAAUACACACUUGAAAUCAGAGUAAUUUAUUGAUAUUUAUUUAUGCAUCUUGUACUUGAGCACUGGGUGCAAUAAAUGAAAGGGUUACAGUUUUUAAUGCUCAUAACUGCCACUUGCUAUGUAAAACAGUUAUUUUAAAAUUUGAAAUGAAGCAGUAACUUUUUGCCUUUCAACAAAAUUGGAUGUUACGUAUAACAUCCAGCAUUACAGAAAAUUAUAGUAUCUUUUAAAAAAUGUUUUGUAAGCAGAAGCUAGUAUUUUGAAAAGUAUAAGAGAAAUGUGUUCAUGCAAGAGGUCUCAAAAUGUCUUUUGCAUCUAGGAAAAAAUAUUAGGUGUGCACCACUAAAGAUUUUCUUGGCCAAUACCAAUAACCAAAUAUUAACCAGCCAUAUCAGCUGAUACCAAUCUGAUGCCUGGCUGCAGUCCUGUAAAUUGGUUAGCAGGGAGAGCAGCUCCCUGUAGGUAAGUCUGUGGAAGGGAAGGGAUGUGGGGAGAGGGAAGGGGUGUGAGAGAAGGGCAGAUUGAGGUCCCCAUGGUGAGAGGGAGGGAGUGGGGCAGGGGUAGGAGCUGGUGCUGGGGGUGCUACCCAGCCAGGGCAGUGAAUGGGGGCCAGGGAGGAGAACUGGACAAAGCUGCAGGCAGCUCCUUCAAGGACUCAGCAUCCAGGUGUUUAAAAAUGGUGGUGAGGACACUUGAACUAAAGCUUGCCAAAUGAGCUUUAGUUCAAGCACCACUGCCACCAUUUUUAAGCAUGGGGAUGCUUUUAACUGGGGUAAGGGUAGAUGCGGGCUGCUUGCUGUGGGCUCAGGGCUUUCCACCCUGCUGCCUUUGCCCCCGAGGCCCUGCACCAGCUGUGCGCCCCUUGCCCACUUGGCAGUGGGGGGCACAGCUCGAUGUCCCCACUGUUGCCAGGCAGGCAGGGGAUGCGUGGCUGGUGUGGGGUUCCUGAGAGAAAGGCAGGAGAGCGGAGAGCCCCAAGCCCAUAGCUAGCAGCCCACGACUGCCCCAUGCACAAAUCUGGAGGGCACGUUUCCACAGCCCCCAUGCUUCCCCCAGGGGGUGCAUGAAGCAGGG